Molecule: long non-coding RNA, 652 nt
Organism: Hyaena hyaena (striped hyena)
Lineage: Eukaryota; Metazoa; Chordata; Mammalia; Carnivora; Hyaenidae
Exons: 5
Source: RefSeq, a predicted model, not a curated record
UAGGGCUCAUCUAAGACCUAAGAUGGCGGCGUUCGUACGGAGGAAAAGUACUGCCUGAGUACUAGGUGUGGAAAACGGCCAAUGGACAAAUCUAUUAAGGAAAGUACAGAAACUCGCUAAUAUUUUCUUUUGUGUCACCUUACCACCACUGAUGAAGCUAGACGGUUGCGGAUACUAGCUCGUAGGAGGGAUUCUGAGCCGUUUUCUUCUCGUUUUUCCUUGUUUAAAUGGGUUUUUAUUGACACCACGCCGGCCCCAGAACGCUUUCAGGAACACCCUAACCUGUUGGACCUACUUUUCCUUAUUUCCUUCGUGCUGUAUUUCGCAGGUCUCAGAUGAAGACUUCUAGGCAUACAUUUGUUCUGGAAGCACGUUCUUUUCAGAGGUGUGUGUGUGUGUGUGUGUGUGUGUGUGUACGUACGUACAGGGGGCUUUCCACAUAUGUUAUGAAAUACUUAAGAUAUACAAACAUAUAAAGAAUAAUACAAUGAGAGAUGCAAAAGAAAAAAAAAAAGGAGUGAACCUCUGUUUUCACCAUCCAAACAUAAAAAUAAUAGCAUGAUAGUUGAAGUUCUCUGUGUACCCAUCCCCGAAUGUGUCUCUUCCUUCAUCCCCAGAGAGAUGCAUCUAGUAAGAAGUUGCUACCGCCUGG